This 460-nucleotide ribosomal RNA is filed under the name uncultured bacterium. RNAcentral describes it as "partial 16S ribosomal RNA". It matches the Rfam family "Bacterial small subunit ribosomal RNA", at positions 338 to 795 of the family's 1533-position model. The record is from RNAcentral.
CCUACGGGAGGCAGCAGUGAGGAAUAUUGGUCAAUGGACGAGAGUCUGAACCAGCCAAGUAGCGUGAAGGAUGACUGCCCUAUGGGUUGUAAACUUCUUUUAUAUGGGAAUAAAAUGUUCCACGUGUGGGAUUUUGUAUGUACCAUAUGAAUAAGGAUCGGCUAACUCCGUGCCAGCAGCCGCGGUAAUACGGAGGAUCCGAGCGUUAUCCGGAUUUAUUGGGUUUAAAGGGAGCGUAGGUGGAUUGUUAAGUCAGUUGUGAAAGUUUGCGGCUCAACCGUAAAAUUGCCGUUGAAACUGGCAGUCUUGAGUACAGUAGAGGUGGGCGGAAUGCGUGGUGUAGCGGUGAAAUGCUUAGAUAUCACGAAGAACGCCGAUUGCGAAGGCAGUUCACUGGACUGCAACUGACACUGAGGCUCGAAAGUGUGGGUAUCAAACAGGAUUAGAUACCCCAGUAGUC